Molecule: RNA transcript, 1005 nt
Organism: Condylostylus longicornis
Lineage: Eukaryota; Metazoa; Arthropoda; Insecta; Diptera; Dolichopodidae
Gene name: DNL-type zinc finger protein-like
Exons: 4
Source: RefSeq, a predicted model, not a curated record
AUUUUGUUUUCAUCUAUCAAAUUUGUUGAAUUUUUUGUAUGUAUAAUUUUCAAAUUUUUUUAAGUUUAUUUAAAGUUAUCGUAAAUAUUAAAGUAUAAUAAAGUUAAAGUAAUUAUGAAUAAUCUACGUCAAAUAUUUAGUAUGCGUACAUUAAUCGCAAUACAGCAAAAUUUGUUUGCUUCAAAUAUCGUAACACAAGUUUUCAGUCAUAAUCCACAUUUUACAUAUGCAUAUCAAUUUUUAAGACCAUCAUAUUGUGAAUUUCCGAGAUAUUUAGCACAGCUAACUAACGUGACCAAAAAAGAUGAUAAUGAUAGCAAAGAUCAACCAGGAAAUAAUUCUGUGCCAUUGGCGCAAUUAGAAUCAAAACUACAAUUAGUUUAUACCUGCAAAAUUUGCAAUACAAGAAGUAUAAAAAUAAUUAGUAAACAGGCUUAUCAAAAAGGUGUAGUUAUUGUGAAAUGUGAUAGUUGCAAAAAUAAUCAUCUAAUAGCAGAUAAUUUGGGCUGGUUUGCCGAUAGAAAAAUUAAUAUUGAAGAUAUUUUGGCAGAAAAAGGAGAAUCAAUAACAAAAAUUUCAGGAACACAUAAUGGAGAAUUUGUAUUAAACGAAAAUCACGAAAAAUAAAACAGUUUUCUGGUGUCAAAUGAAAACUUGUAUGGAAAAUUAGUUGCAUAUACAUAUUUCAUUAUUUGUUGUUAUCUAUGUAUGCAUAGUGUAUACAUACUGUUUUUUGCUUAGAUUUGAUUUAACAUAUUAAUUGUAGUUACCGAGACUUAUACAUAAAUGUAUAUAUUAUGUACCUAUACGGACAUCGGACUCUAAAUAAUGGCUAUGCAUUAGAAAUUGAUAUUUAUGGCUUGAUGAAAUAAAAACAUGCAAAUCAUGUUUAUUAGAGUAACUGCCACAUUAUUCGAUUUCGGUAUAUAUUAGCUGAGAAUUUAUUUAUACAUACAUCAAGAUUGAGAAAAAUUUUGGAACAAUAUAAUAUUCUUAUUAUAUAAA